AUUGAACGCUGGCGGAAUGCUUUACACAUGCAAGUCGAACGGCAGCACGGACUUCGGUCUGGUGGCGAGUGGCGAACGGGUGAGUAAUAUAUCGGAACGUAUCCAAUAAUGGGGGAUGACUAAUCGAAAGGAUGGCUAAUACCGCAUACGUCCUACGGUAGAAAGCUAGGGAACUUCGGGCCUGACGUUAAUGGAGCGGCCGAUAUAGGAUUAUCUAGUUGGUGAGGUAAAGGCUCACCAAGGCGACGAUCCGUAGCUGGUCUGAGAGGACGACCAGCCACACUGGAACUGAGACACGGUCCAGACUCCUACGGGAGGCAGCAGUGGGGAAUUUUGGACAAUGCGCGAAAGCCUGAUCCAGCCAUUCCGCGUGAGUGAAGAAGGCCUUCGGGUUGUAAAGCUCUUUCGCAAGAGAAGAAAACUUACCCUCUAACAUAGGGUGAGGUUGACGGUAUCUUGAUAAGAAGCACCGGCUAACUACGUGCCAGCAGCCGCCGUAA
This 500-nucleotide ribosomal RNA is filed under the name uncultured bacterium. RNAcentral's name for it is "partial 16S ribosomal RNA". It matches the Rfam family "Bacterial small subunit ribosomal RNA", at positions 30 to 523 of the family's 1533-position model. The record is from RNAcentral.